CUCCUGAAGGGAUUCAAUCAAUUCUAAAACUUAACCAUUCUACAGACUACAGAUUCCACAACCACUCUAUCCCAUCCUUAAGAAUUCUAAGUCACUACUCACACAACAUGCUCAAAGACAUAAACGCAGGUAAAUGAUAAUAUUGCAUAAGUAAAGAGAUAAAGAGUAGAUGACAGGUGAAAUCAAAUGCGGAAUCUGAAUAACUUGGAAAAAUCUAGUGUCUGGCAACAGACUGUGCAGUCGAGUAUAGCUGGUUCAUAUCCUUUCUGUUACUCGACCACAUCCUGCUUCUGGCAUUAACCUGUUAUGGUCGAGUGAAUUUAGUAAUUCUGAUAAUGUUUCUGUUUUCUGCAUGUUCGCUUAGGACUGUUAGAAACCCCAAAACUGUUAUUGCUUGGCUUGACUUCGUGACUUCUGAUCACAUCUCAUUUGUUUGCAUCACACCCAUUUGGAUUGACACCUAAAAUACUACAACCACAUGAU
Molecule: small RNA, 483 nt
Filed under: Arabidopsis thaliana (thale cress)
Lineage: Eukaryota; Viridiplantae; Streptophyta; Magnoliopsida; Brassicales; Brassicaceae
Description: ATSL202250
Source: RNAcentral